GAAAUGCGGGUGCUAUACAUGCAAGUCGAGCGAACCUUGAGGUGCUUGCACCUCUUGGUUAGCGGCGGACGGGUGAGUAACACGUGGGCAACCUGCCUGUAAGACUGGGAUAACAUCGGGAAACCGAUGCUAAUACCGGAUAAUCCUUUUCCUCUCAUGAGGAAAAGCUGAAAGUCGGCUUCUCGCUGACACUUACAGAUGGGCCCGCGGCGCAUUACCUAGUUGGUGAGGUAACGGCUCACCAAGGCGACAAUGCGUACCCAACCUGAAAGGGUGAUCGGCCACACUGGGACUGAAACACGGCCCAAACUCCUACGGGAGGCAGCAGUAGGGAAUCUUCCGCAAUGGACAAAAGUCUGACGGAGCAACGCCGCGUGAACGAUGAAGGCCUUCGGGUCGUAAAGUUCUGUUGUUAGGGAAAAACAAGUACCGGAGUAACUGCCGGUACCUUGACGGUACCUAACCAAAAAGCCACGGCUAACUACGUGCCACCACCCGCGGUAAUACGUAGGUGGCAAGCGUUGUCCGGAAUUAUUGGGCGUAAAGCGCGCGCAGGCGGUCCUUUAAGUCUGAUGUGAAAGCCCACGGCUCACCCGUGGAGGGUCAUUGGAAACUGGGGGACUUGAGUACAGAAAAGGAAAGCGGAAUUCCACGUGUAGCGGUGAAAUGCGUAGAGAUGUGGAGGAACACCAGUGGCGAAGGCGGCUUUCUGGUCUGUAACUGACGCUGAGGCGCGAAAGCGUGGGGAGCAAACAGGAUUAGAUACCCUGGUAGUCCACGCCGUAAACGAUGAGUGCUAAGUGUUAGAGGGUUCCCGCCCUUUAGUGCUGCAGCUAACGCAUUAAGCACUCCGCCUGGGGGAGUACGGCCGCAAGGCUGAAACUCAAGGAAUUGACGGGGGCCCGCACAAGCGGUGAGCAUGUGGUUUAAUUCGAAGCAACGCGAAGACCUUACCAGGUCUUGACAUCUCUGACACUCCUAGAGAUAGGACGUUCCCCUUCGGGGGACAGAGUGACAGGUGUGCAUGAUGUCGUCAGCUCGUGUCGUGAGAUGUGGGUAGUCCCGCACGAGCGCACCUGAUCUAGUGCAGCAUCAGUUGCACUCUAGUGACUGCCGUGACACCGAGAGGUGGGAUGACGUCAAUCAUCAUGCCCUUAUGACUGG
Molecule: ribosomal RNA, 1164 nt
Filed under: Bacillus sp. (in: firmicutes)
Lineage: Bacteria; Bacillati; Bacillota; Bacilli; Caryophanales; Bacillaceae
Description: bacterial SSU rRNA
Rfam family: Bacterial small subunit ribosomal RNA
Source: RNAcentral